AAGGAUGAAGGCGUUCUGCGUUGUAAACUUCUUUUAUUGGGGAAGAAACCUCUUUUUUCUAAGAGAGCCGACGGUACCCAAGGAAUAAGCACCGGCUAACUCCGUGC
This 107-nucleotide ribosomal RNA is filed under the name uncultured bacterium. Its description in RNAcentral is "partial 16S ribosomal RNA". It matches the Rfam family "Bacterial small subunit ribosomal RNA", at positions 404 to 508 of the family's 1533-position model. The record is from RNAcentral.